CUUAACACAUGCAAGUCGAACGGGGCUAUUUGAUUUCGAUUGGGUAGCCUAGUGGCGAACGGGUGAGUAACGCGUGAAUGACCUGACCUUGAGAGGGGGAUAACAACGAGAAAUCGUUGCUAAUACCGCAUAGGACCACACUGCCGCAUGGCAGAGAGGUGAAAGGAGAAAUCCGCUAAAGGAGGGGUUCGCGUCCCAUUAGGUAGUAGGCGGGGUAAAGGCCCACCUAGCCGACGAUGGGUAGCCGAGCUGAGAGGCUGAACGGCCACACUGGAACUGAGACACGGUCCAGACUCCUACGGGAGGCAGCAGUGGGGAAUAUUGGGCAAUGGGCGAAAGCCUGACCCAGCAACGCCGCGUGAGGGAAGAAGGUCUUCGGAUUGUAAACCUCUGUCCUUGGAGACGAAGGAAGUGACGGUAACCAAGGAGGAAGCCCCGGCUAACUACGUGCCAGCAGCCGCGGUAAUACGUAGGGGGCGAGCGUUGUCCGGAAUUACUGGGCGUAAAGGGUGCGUAGGCGGCAAUUUAAGUUGGAUGUGAAAUACCCGGGCUUAACCUGGGGGGUGCAUUCAAAACUGGAUAGCUAGAGUACCAGGAGAGGGAAGCGGAAUUCCUAGUGUAGCGGGGAAAUGCGUAGAUAUUAAAGAGGAACACCGGUGGCGAAGGCGGCUUUCUGGACUGAAACUGACGCUGAGGCACGAAAAGCGUGGGGAGCCAACAGGAUUAGAUACCCUGGUAGUGCACGCUGUAAACGAUGAAUACUAGGUGUAGGGGGUAUAGACUCCCUCUGUGCCGGAGCAAACGCAAUAAGUAUUCCGCCUGGGGAGUACGGCCGCAAGGUUGAAACUCAAAGGAAUUGACGGGGGCCCGCACAAGCAGCGGAGCAUGUGGUUUAAUUCGACGCAACGCGAAGAACCUUACCAAGGCUUGACAUCCUACUAAAGUCAUGGAAACAUGAUGUCCCUUAGGGGAAGUAGAGACAGGUGGUGCAUGGUUGUCGUCAGCUCGUGUCGUGAGAUGUUGGGUUAAGUCCCGCAACGAGCGCAACCCCUGUUGCCAGUUACCAGCGCGUAAAGGCGGGGACUCUGGUGAGACUGCCGGGGACAACUCGGAGGAAGGUGGGGACGACGUCAAAUCAUCAUGCCCCUUACGUCUCGGGCUACACACGUGCUACAAUGGCUGUAACAAAGGGAAGCGACUGGGCAACCAGAAGCGAAUCUCAUAAAAGCAGUCCCAGUUCGGAUUGUGGGCUGCAACCCGCCCACAUGAAGUCGGAGUUGCUAGUAAUCGCGGAUCAGCAUGCCGCGGUGAAUACGUUCCCGGGCCUUGUACACACCGCCCGUCACACCAUGGGAGUUGGGAGCGCCCGAAGCCGGUAACUUAACCGCAAGGAGAGAGCCGUCGAAGGCGAGACCAAUGACUGGGGU
Molecule: ribosomal RNA, 1427 nt
Filed under: uncultured organism
Description: 16S ribosomal RNA
Rfam family: Bacterial small subunit ribosomal RNA
Source: RNAcentral